CAUCGCCCCUUGUAAAAUAAAACAAAAUAAGGGGUACUGCCUGCCCAGUGGACUAAUAUUUAAACGGCCGCGGUAUUUUGACCGUGCAAAGGUAGCAUAAUAAUUUGCUCUUUAAUUGAGGGCUAGUAUGAAAGGCAAGACGAAAGCUUAACUGUCUCCCCCUUAAAAAAAGAAAUUUAUAUUUUAGUGAAGAAACUAAAAUAAAAAUGCAAGACGAGAAGACCCUGUCGAGCUUAAGAAAAUUUUUAUAAAAAAAAGAAAAAGCUAAUAUAUUUAACAAUACUUUUGAAAGAAUUACAAUAAAAAUAUCUUUGGUUGGGGCAACCACGAAGAAAAAAUAACCUUCGACUUCUACAAAAAAUAAACAAAUUUAAAAGCUCAAAAUUUAAGCUUUUCAAAAGAUCCGGUAAAACCCGAUCAAAGAAAAAAGUUACCGCAGGGAUAACAGCGUCAUUCUCUUUAAGAGCUCGUAUUGACAAGAGAGUUUGCGACCUCGAUGUUGGACCGGGGCAUCCAAGAGAUGCAGAAGUCUCUAAAGGUAGGUCUGUUCGACCUUUAAAGCCCUACGUGA
Molecule: ribosomal RNA, 571 nt
Filed under: Comanthus suavia
Lineage: Eukaryota; Metazoa; Echinodermata; Crinoidea; Comatulida; Comatulidae
Description: partial 16S ribosomal RNA
Rfam family: Bacterial large subunit ribosomal RNA
Source: RNAcentral